GAUGAAGUACGUAGCGAAAUGCGAUACGUAAUGUGAAUUGCAGAAUUCAGUGAAUCAUCGAAUCUUUGAACGCAUAUUGCGCUCUCUGGUAUUCCGGAGAGCAUGCUUGUUUGAGUAUCAGUAAACACCUCAACUUCCAUAUCUUUUUUGAAAUGGGAGUUGGACUUGAGUGAUCCCAACGCUUUUCCUCACCGAAAAGUGGCGGGUUACUUGAAAUGCAGGUGCAGCUGGACUUUUCUCUGAGCUAUAAGCAUAUCUAUUUAGUCUGCCUAAAAAACAGAUUAUUACCUUUGCUGCAGCUAACAUAAAGGAGAUUAGUUCUUGUGCUGACUGAUGCAGGAUUCACAAAGACAGGCUUCGGCCGACUUUGUAAACUCGAUCUCAAAUCAAGUAAGACUACCCGCUGAACUUAAGCAUAUCAAUAAGCGGAGGA
RNAcentral lists this unclassified non-coding RNA (433 nucleotides) under soil metagenome. RNAcentral describes it as "partial contains 5.8S ribosomal RNA, internal transcribed spacer 2, and large subunit ribosomal RNA". The stretch from base 1 to 120 matches the Rfam family "5.8S ribosomal RNA", at positions 35 to 154 of the family's 154-position model. The record is from RNAcentral.